AAAUAAGAAGCAAUCCUAUAUGCAUUUAAUUUCGACUUAAAAGAAAGAGUAAAAACUCCUUAUUUA
RNAcentral lists this transfer RNA (66 nucleotides) under Delias berinda. RNAcentral's name for it is "tRNA-Arg". The record is from RNAcentral. Lineage: Eukaryota; Metazoa; Arthropoda; Insecta; Lepidoptera; Pieridae.